UCGAGUUCCAAUGUUUCUUUAUUUUUUUUUUUUGACUGGACAGUGUUUGGCAGUAAUGAAAAAAAUACAAGAACAAGUUUUACAUUACAGAGCGGGAAUACAAAAUAUUCAGCUCACUUUUAUGUACAAAAAAUUACACUGAUGAAAACAUGUGGAGUAAUGAUUUUAUUAUGCUUCAAACAUUGUGUUUACAUGUUCAUGUGAGGACUGUUCAAUAUUGCAUUACAUAAUCAUUUAUACAGACUUUCACAAAUAAACAAUACUAUCUAAUACUAACAAGUGUUUAUGAGAAAUGUGUUUGCAAGAGUUCAGGGAUCUAAUAAAAACAUAACGUAUUAAAUUUUAGACCAUGUGUAAGACUGCCAGGUAGCUGUUUAACACAUCUACAAAUAAUUCUGUUAACAAAAUACACAUUUUCUGAUUUCAGCCCUUUAUUUCUGACCUUCCUUCAACUUUUUGAACUAAAAUCUUAGUACAGAAAACCACACUGUUGUGGGUUCUUACAGGAUAUUUUGUAGGUUCUAUUAUUUAACCCACUCUAAUCCUUCCGAUAAUGCAAGAUAGACAUAUUUAGGGUUUUCAGGUACUCUUGAUAUGUAUGAAUAUGUAGACUUUAUACAAUUCUUAUUCUCUUUAAAUAUACAUAGAUAUUUUCUCUAAGUAAGGCAAAUACAAAGUACAACCAUUAUAAGUAAUGCGUUGUGUGUGAAAUAUUAACACAAACAAACAAUAUUAUGUCAGGAAAUCUAUGAUGUGCAGAGGAUGUCUGUCACGUUAUUGCCUCAUCCUAACCACUGCAGAGUUGCAAAAGUACAAGCUGACACUCAACAAAACAAUGUAUUUUUAGUCUUAAAUCUCUUAAAUGAUCAGAAAUCUUACACUUAUUUUUAAAAAGUAGCCUCUCUUGUAUCAAUAUAUAUAUACAAUACACAAGAUCCAGUGCACUCACUCAUCCACUAAACGGCAACUUCAAAACUCAGAGAUUUUAUUCGUUUUUUUAAACCACCUAAUCUAUGCAAAAAUAAUGGGGGUUUAGUUACAUUAUAUGAUCAUACAUUGCAUAAGCCUGCCACAACGUCAAUGUACCCCAUCUUUGGCAGGUCCUACUCUAACAACCUAAUGAGAUUAACCCACUUACUUGGGGGGAAAAAUUCCAUUUGGGAUUCUCUGCCAUGCAAGGCUGAAUAGGGCCCUGGAAUGAGGCACAUGUGACAGGGAUGGGCGCAAAACCAAGGAGUAGGCCUAAACGCCCUAUCACAGCUGCCUCAUUCCAGG
This is a non-coding RNA of Pelobates cultripes (western spadefoot toad), 1275 nucleotides long. The record is from the annotation of a GenBank genome assembly. Lineage: Eukaryota; Metazoa; Chordata; Amphibia; Anura; Pelobatidae.